AUUGAACGCUGGCGGCAUGCCUUACACAUGCAAGUCGAACGGUAACGGGCCUUCGGGUGCCGACGAGUGGCGAACGGGUGAGUAAUACAUCGGAACGUGCCCGAUCGUGGGGGAUAACGAGGCGAAAGCUUUGCUAAUACCGCAUACGAUCUACGCAUGAAAGCAGGGGACCGCAAGGCCUUGCGCGGACGGAGCGGCCGAUGGCAGCUUAGGUAGUUGGUGGGAUAAAAGCUUACCAAGCCGACGAUCUGUAGCUGGUCUGAGAGGAUGAUCAGCCACACUGGGACUGAGACACGGCCCAGACUCCUACGGGAGGCAGCAGUGGGGAAUUUUGGACAAUGGGCGCAAGCCUGAUCCAGCCAUGCCGCGUGCAGGAUGAAGGCCUUCGGGUUGUAAACUGCUUUUGUACGGAACGAAAAGCCUUCUUUUAAUACAGGAGGGUCAUGACGGUACCGGAAGAAUAAGCACCGGCUAACUACGUG
This 482-nucleotide ribosomal RNA is filed under the name uncultured bacterium. RNAcentral describes it as "partial 16S ribosomal RNA". It matches the Rfam family "Bacterial small subunit ribosomal RNA", at positions 30 to 507 of the family's 1533-position model. The record is from RNAcentral.